RNAcentral lists this ribosomal RNA (445 nucleotides) under uncultured bacterium. RNAcentral's name for it is "bacterial SSU rRNA". It matches the Rfam family "Bacterial small subunit ribosomal RNA", at positions 331 to 792 of the family's 1533-position model. The record is from RNAcentral.
CCAGACUCCUACGGGAGGCAGCAGUCGGGAAUAUUGCGCAAUGGAGGAAACUCUGACGCAGUGACGCCGCGUAUAGGAAGAAGGUUUUCGGAUUGUAAACUAUUGUCGUUAGGGAAGAUAAAAGACAGUACCUAAGGAGGAAGCCCCGGCUAACUACGUGCCAGCAGCCGCGGUAAUACGUAGGGGGCAAGCGUUAUCCGGAUUUACUGGGUGUAAAGGGAGCGCAGGCGGCGUGGCAAGUCAGAUGUGAAAACCCGGGGCCCAACCCCGGGAGUGCAUUUGGAACUGUGCUGCUAGAGUGUCGGAGAGGCAGGCGGAAUUCCUAGUGUAGCGGUGAAAUGCGUAGAUAUUAGGAGGAACACCAGUGGCGAAGGCGGCCUGCUGGACGAUGACUGACGUUGAGGCUCGAAAGCGUGGGGAGCAAACAGGAUUAGAUACCCUUGUA